RNAcentral lists this ribosomal RNA (498 nucleotides) under uncultured bacterium. Its description in RNAcentral is "partial 16S ribosomal RNA". It matches the Rfam family "Bacterial small subunit ribosomal RNA", at positions 28 to 507 of the family's 1533-position model. The record is from RNAcentral.
GACGAACGCUGGCGGCGUGCCUAAUACAUGCAAGUCGAACGAGAGCGACCGGUGCUUGCACUGUUCAAUCUAGUGGCGAACGGGUGAGUAACACGUGGGUAACCUGCCCAUCAGAGGGGGAUAACAUCCGGAAACGGAUGCUAAAACCGCAUAGGUCUUCGAACCGCAUGGUUUGAAGAGGAAAAGAGGCGCAAGCUUCUGCUGAUGGAUGGACCCGCGGUGCAUUAGCUAGUUGGUGAGGUAACGGCUCACCAAGGCCGUGAUGCAUAGCCGACCUGAGAGGGUGAUCGGCCACAUUGGGACUGAGACACGGCCCAAACUCCUACGGGAGGCAGCAGUAGGGAAUCUUCCGCAAUGGACGCAAGUCUGACGGAGCAACGCCGCGUGAGUGAAGAAGGUUUUCGGAUCGUAAAACUCUGUUGUUAGAGAAGAACAAGUGCUAGAGUAACUGUUAGCGCCUUGACGGUAUCUAACCAGAAAGCCACGGCUAACUACGUG